Molecule: ribosomal RNA, 497 nt
Filed under: uncultured bacterium
Lineage: Bacteria
Description: partial 16S ribosomal RNA
Rfam family: Bacterial small subunit ribosomal RNA
Source: RNAcentral
GAUGAACGCUGGCGGCGUGCCUAAUACAUGCAAGUCGAGCGAACAGACGAGGAGCUUGCUCCUCUGACGUUAGCGGCGGACGGGUGAGUAACACGUGGAUAACCUACCUAUAAGACUGGGAUAACUUCGGGAAACCGGAGCUAAUACCGGAUAACAUGUUGAACCGCAUGGUUCAACAGUGAAAGACGGUCUUGCUGUCACUUAUAGAUGGAUCCGCGCCGCAUUAGCUAGUUGGUAAGGUAACGGCCUACCAAGGCAACGAUGCGUAGCCGACCUGAGAGGGUGAUCGGCCACACUGGAACUGAGACACGGUCCAGACUCCUACGGGAGGCAGCAGUAGGGAAUCUUGCGCAAUGGGCGAAAGCCUGACGGAGCAACGCCGCGUGAGUGAAGAAGGUCUUCGGAUCGUAAAACUCUGUUAUUAGGGAAGAACAAAUGUGUAAGUAACUAUGCACGUCUUGACGGUACCUAAUCAGAAAGCCACGGCUAACUACGUG